CUGGCCGUAAACGAUGGAUACUAGGUGUAAGUGGUAUCGACCCCACUUGUGCCGUAGCUAACGCAUUAAGUAUCCCGCCUGGGGAGUACGGCCGCAAGGUUGAAACUCAAAGGAAUUGACGGGGGCCCGCACAAGCGGUGGAGCAUGUGGUUUAAUUCGUUACUAACCGAAGAACCUUACCCAGGCUUGACAUCCCCGGACAGCCCAUGAAAGUGGGUCUUCUCUCCCACAAGGAGAGACUGGGUGACAGGUGU
Molecule: ribosomal RNA, 254 nt
Filed under: uncultured Armatimonadota bacterium
Lineage: Bacteria; Bacillati; Armatimonadota
Description: uncultured Armatimonadetes bacterium partial 16S ribosomal RNA
Rfam family: Bacterial small subunit ribosomal RNA
Source: RNAcentral